Molecule: non-coding RNA, 1008 nt
Organism: Leptonychotes weddellii (Weddell seal)
Lineage: Eukaryota; Metazoa; Chordata; Mammalia; Carnivora; Phocidae
Source: RefSeq, a predicted model, not a curated record
UUACCCUGCGUGUGCCUCUUUCAACCUUUCUCACACCGUUACAGUUGUUUACGUGGCCAUUGCUUUGGUGGGACUAGGAGCUCUCUAAGAACAGAUACCGCUUUGUAUUAGAGUUCUUUACCCAAAAAAGGAGCUGACUCUAAUUUAAACCAAAGGGAAUUUAUUGGAAGGGUAGGAGUUAGCUCACAGACUCGACGGGACAGCUGAAGAGCCAUUGCUGAAUGUGCGGACAUCAGAAGAGCUUCGUGGAUUCAGAGACCCUAACUCAGUUCUGAUCUUCUGGUUGUCAACAGCCAACUCUCACUAGUUCAAGCAUAAAAGGAACAGCUCAAAGGAUAUCCAGUAGCUGGAAAGGCGAGAGAGAAAUGGCUUGAAGUCUUACGCAGCCCGGACAAGAAGCAACAGCCCAGCCAGGCAGCAGGACCGCUCCAACAAAGACCCCGUGCCCCACUGUUGCACGCACACUUCAGCUCCCACCAGUGGCCCUGGCCUGGAGGCUGUCGUCCUGGCCUUCUAAAAUCAGAUGCUUCUACUGCUACCUGCCCCGCCCCGAGAAACAUCUCCACGCAGCGCUAGCUUCCUUAUGUUGCUCACACCCAAGUCAAGGUCUCAUGCGGAAACUAUUUCUUAGGUGAAAAUCACAUCGCAUAAGGGAUUAGUAAAGCUUUUAAUAGCCAAUAAACACACAAUUUAAAAGAGAAAAGAAACAAAACAUUGUGAUCCAGAGUCAAUUAGAGCCCACCAGAAUAGGACAUCUGCGAAAACAAUCGCCAAAACAAUGUAAGAAUGCAUCUUAAAGUUUCGGAAAUGGAAUUCAGAGAAAAUGUCCUCAAGGAAUAAUACCAAGACAGACCCACUUGAAAUGUGCGAUGGACUGAAAUGAAAGCCUCACAAAUGCCCUUAUAAAUCUUAAGAAAAAUAACAAACGGCUGGUCAGUUAAGACUCUAGUGUUACUGGGCGCCUGGAUGGCUCAGUCAGUUGAGCGUCUGCCUUCAGCUCAGGUCAUG